Long non-coding RNA from Phacochoerus africanus (Common warthog), 1691 nucleotides. RefSeq lists it as uncharacterized. The record is from RefSeq and is a predicted model, not a curated record. NCBI's taxonomy places the organism in Eukaryota, Metazoa, Chordata, Mammalia, Artiodactyla, Suidae. The transcript is spliced from 3 exons.
UUCUGACCCCCAGGGUCCUCCCUGCCCGCGGUCAUGUGCCACAGAGGCUGUGCGGGGAGGGAGGGAGAUGGGCUUUGAGGGCCAGGGUCCGAUCCCGCGGGAGAGGUGGAGGGGCCCAGCCUGGUGCUUCCUGGGGCCGCCCCACCCUGCCCGCGAGCACAGUCCAGGGUUUCAUGCCCUUCGAACCGCACUUGUGAUCGGUAUUGACAGGCGGCAGGAUAAUCAUUAACCGCUGCCAGGGGCUGGGCCAACGGCUCAAAAGGCGCUGGGCCCGGGGGGCCCCACUUCCUCCUUGUGCCUCAAGGGCCAGCGGGCACCCAGGGUUCAGAGCUCUGCGAGCUUAUCUUAUCCUUGUGCUGGUCCCAGACUCCUUGAGGGCAAAGUCCAGGACUCAUUCAUCCUCCUCGUCUGGGCAGCCCCAACACAGUGCGGCCAUAAAGUUAAAGAAGGGAAAAAAGAAAGGAAACUUGUGCAAGGCAGACCCAGCUCCCUCUGACUGGCUCCUUGAUCACCGUGGACCUGUGCCCUUUUUCCGGCAGGCCCUGGGGUGGGCUUGUGCACGUCUUGCCUCGCCAGGAUCCUGAGGCCGCCUGUUCACCACCAGAGCCAGCUUCGCCCACUCCCCACUCGCUGGUCCCCAGGAUGCUCGUGGCCUCUCUUAGAGCUUCCGCCACAUCCCAUCACCCACACCUGCUCUUCUGCCUCAGCCUGUGAACUCCCCGGGAGCAGCAGGCACUGAUUUCUUGUUUCCUGUGGCCUCGGAGAGUGGCACAGAACAGGUGCCAAAGAAAUGUCCGCUGAAGCAGUGACCACGUUCAUCGAACGAAGGUGCUCAGGGGAGGUGGGGAGCAGAUGCCUGGAGAGGGCGGCACCACGGCUGCAUGUAGGAGGCCUUCAAGAAAUGCCAGCCACCGUCUUCAUCACCAUCACUGCCCAUUUGUGAACAAUGUGGUACUGGUUCCAACCUCAAAGAAAAGGCGAUGGGGAAAGGAGUGGUCAGAGCUGGGUGGCCUAGAUCAGGAAAGGCUCCCUGGGAAAGGUAGAGUGUGGGAGUUCCCACUGUGGUUCAGUGGUAAUGAACCCGACUAACAUCCACGAGGACGUGGGUUUGAUCCUUGGCCUCGCUCAGUGGGUUAAGGAUCCGGUGUCGCGAUGAGCUGUGGUUAGGUCGCUGUCGAGGCUCGGAUCUGGCGUUCCUGUGGCUGUGGGGGGAUAGGCCGACAGUUACAGCUGCACUUCAACCCCUAGCCUGGGAACUUCUAUAUGCCGCACCUGCUGCCCUAAAAAGACAAAAAGAAAAAAGAAAGGUAGAGAUUGAGUUCAGUUUUUGCUGAAGUGAAGCCCAGGGAAAAAAAGGUCAUGAGCUCUGCAGGGGAAGGAGUGGCGUGACAGACAGGGACAGCGGUGCAUCAAAGAGGAGAGGGCUUGGAGUUCCCGUCGUGGCGCAGUGGUGAACGAAUCUGACUAGGAACCAUGAGGUUGCGGGUUCGAUCCCUGGCCUCGCUCAGUGGGUUAAGGAGCCGGCGUUGCCGUGAACUUCGAUGUAGGUCGCAAACACGGCUUUGGAUCCCAUGUUGCUGUGGCUCUGUCGUAGGCCAGCGGCUACAGCUCCGAUUCGACCCCUAGCCUGGGAACCUCCGUAUGCCGCGGGAAGCGGCCCUAGAAAAAAGCAAAAAGACCAAAAAAAAAAA